Molecule: ribosomal RNA, 301 nt
Filed under: uncultured bacterium
Lineage: Bacteria
Description: partial 16S ribosomal RNA
Rfam family: Bacterial small subunit ribosomal RNA
Source: RNAcentral
CAGUAGCCGCGGGAAUACGUAGGGUGCAAGCGUUAAUCGGAAUUACUGGGCGUAAAGCGUGCGCAGGCGGUUAUAUAAGACAGAUGUGAAAUCCCCGGGCUCAACCUGGGAACUGCAUUUGUGACUGUAUAGCUAGAGUACGGCAGAGGGGGAUGGAAUUCCGCGUGUAGCAGUGAAAUGCGUAGAUAUGCGGAGGAACACCGAUGGCGAAGGCAAUCCCCUGGGCCUGUACUGACGCUCAUGCACGAAAGCGUGGGGAGCAAACAGGAUUAGAUACCCCUGUAGUCCCUGUCUCUUAUAU